Molecule: ribosomal RNA, 279 nt
Filed under: uncultured bacterium
Lineage: Bacteria
Description: partial 16S ribosomal RNA
Rfam family: Bacterial small subunit ribosomal RNA
Source: RNAcentral
GAUCCUGGCUCAGGAUGAACGCUGGCGGCGCGCCUAACACAUGCAAGUCGAACGGCACCCCUCUCCGGAGGGAANCGAGUGGCGAACGGCUGAGUAACACGUGGAGAACCUGCCCCCUCCCCGGGAUAGCCGCCCGAAAGGACGGGUAAUACCGGAUACCCCGGGGUGCCGCAUGGCACCCCGGCUAAAGCCCCGACGGGAGGGGAUGGCUCCGCGGCCCAUCAGGUAGACGGCGGGGUGACGGCCCACCGUGCCGACAACGGGUAGCCGGGUUGAGAG